UGUAAGCGUAUACCAAAGUUGUUGCAGUUAAGACGCUCGUAGUCGGACUUUGGCAGUUCCGGAUGUGUGCACGUCGUGUGCGCACUUCGCGGGGAUUGCUUUUGUGGUCUUGCGUAGGAUGAGGCACUUUUAUUAGUGAACGUCCUCACGCAACCACUUUUUACUGUGAGAAAAUCAGAGUGCUCAAAGCAGGCAUUUGCCGUGAAUGUAUUAGCAUGGAAUAAUAGAAUAGGACUUGGUUCUAUUUUGUUGGUUUGUUGGGACUGAGUAAUGAUUAAGAGGGACAGUUGGGGGCAUUUGUAUUUCGGUGCUAGAGGUGAAAUUCUUAGAUUACCGAAAGACAAACUGCUGCGAAAGCGUCUGCCAAGGAUGUUUUCAUUGA
RNAcentral lists this ribosomal RNA (382 nucleotides) under uncultured eukaryote. RNAcentral describes it as "partial 18S ribosomal RNA". It matches the Rfam family "Eukaryotic small subunit ribosomal RNA", at positions 592 to 976 of the family's 1831-position model. The record is from RNAcentral.